GCGCGCAAAUUACCCCACUCCCGGCACGGGGAGGUAGUGACGAAAAUAUACGAUACGGGACUCAUCCGAGGCCCCGUAAUCGGAAUGAGCACACUUUAAAGACUUUAACGAGUAUCCAUUGGAGGGCAAGUCUGGUGCCAGCAGCCGCGGUAAUUCCAGCUCCAAUAGCGUAUAUUAAAGUUGCUGCGGUUAAAAAGCUCGUAGUUGGACUUGUGUCCCGCGCUGUCGGUUCACCGUUCGUCGGUGUCUAACUGGCAUGCCGCGCGGACGUCCUGCUGGUGGACGCAGUCGGCCGCGGGCCUCCGGUCCGCGCGUCGGCGGUCCGGUGCAAUCCUACCGCGGUGCUCUUCACCGAGUGUCGAGGUGGGCCAGCACGUUUACUUUGAACAAAUUAGAGUGCUUAAAGCAGGCAUGGGUUCGCCUGAAUACUGUGUGCAUGGAAUAAUGGAAUAGGACCUCGGUUCUAUUUCGUUGGUUUCCGGAACCCGAGGUAAUGAUUAAUAGGGACAGACGGGGGCAUUCGUAUUGCGACGUUAGAGGUGAAAUUCUUGGAUCGUCGCAAGACGAACCUAAGCGAAAGCAUUUGCCAUGAGUGUUUUCAUUAAUCAAGAACGAAAGUUAGAGGUUCGAAGGCGAUCAGAUACCGCCCUAGUUCUAACCAUAAACGAUGCCAGCCAGCGAUCCGCCGACGUUCCUAAGAUGACUCGGCGGGCAGCCCCCGGGAAACCAAAGCUUUUGGGUUCCGGGGGAAGUAUGGUUGCAAAGCUGAAACUUAAAGGAAUUGACGGAAGGGCACCACCAGGAGUGGAGCCUGCGGCUUAAUUUGACUCAACACGGGAAACCUCACCAGGCCCGGACACCGGAAGGAUUGACAGAUUGAGAGCUCUUUCUUGAUUCGG
RNAcentral lists this ribosomal RNA (899 nucleotides) under Clonistria sp. 0352. RNAcentral describes it as "SSU rRNA". It matches the Rfam family "Eukaryotic small subunit ribosomal RNA", at positions 432 to 1270 of the family's 1831-position model. The record is from RNAcentral. Lineage: Eukaryota; Metazoa; Arthropoda; Insecta; Phasmatodea; Diapheromeridae.